Molecule: long non-coding RNA, 4693 nt
Filed under: Salvia miltiorrhiza (redroot sage)
Lineage: Eukaryota; Viridiplantae; Streptophyta; Magnoliopsida; Lamiales; Lamiaceae
Description: long non-coding RNA (SMIL_LNC004879)
Source: RNAcentral
UUGAUUUAGAGGCUUGUUGAAAGAAGAAGAAGAAGAAGAAGAAGAAGGUUACAAAGAAGGCGGUACAACUUUGCAAUGAAAUUCAGGGAAAAAGCUAAAGUGAUAGCAGGGAAGGCAUUCAAGAGGUUUGAUAUGGAGUUGAGUGUCAUUUUGUAACUGCUUCUGCGCAUAAAGAUGUGCAAAAGAUAUUCCUGUAUUUCUUGAUUGUAUUGGUUUGAAAAUUCAGGCCACCCAAAAUCAUGGAUCAAUAACAUAAUUGCAUUGAAAUAGUGUUGAACCUUUAAUUAGGUAAUGACAAGGAAUGUUGAUGAAAUUCAUCCAUUGCUCUGUUGAACUGCAAGUAUAGGUGUCUUGAGAUUGAUUUGAUGGCUUCUAUAAGAGAAAGUUGUUUAAUUUAAUGUGCGAUUUGGGUAAAGUGUCAUUGACAUAAUAGUAGUUAAGUUGAUAAUUGAUUCUAGUAGAUUUUUGUGUUUGAACAUGGGAUCAACAAUAUGGGGAGAAUUAUAAAGUAUCUGUAUCUCGAAAGGUACAACAGCUCAUGUUAUCUUAAGACGUUUGAAAUGAUGCUGCUAAUAGUGAGUAUGAAUGUAUCAUAGAAUUAAAUAGUUAAGGCAACAUGAACAUGUAUAGAUCAUACCUCAUUUAAGUUAAACUUGUCAAGAAAAGGAUGCCUACUACAUAAAAAAUUUAUUUCCUCUACAAGGAAAGGAUUGUUUGCUGCUGCCCUCGCCGAGACAAUAAAAGGAGACAAGGAGGAGCUGAUGCAGUUCGGGCCGAGGAGACAAAAACUCGGAAAAUCUCAGGAUAAGGAGGUCAGAGCCGAAGUCAGGGUAAAUUGAUCAAGGUAUCGAGGCUCAAGCUGAGAAGCAGCCGAGGCAUCAGGUCGAAGAAGCGAUCGAGUCAAGGGCUGAGGCGAGUCGAGGAAAUCGAAGUUGAGCUAAGGCUCGACGAGUUUUGGUCCGUUGAUGGUGAAGGGUGUCGACGCGGCGACAUUGAGUUGUGUCGUAGGCUGGAGUGGUGAAGGAGAUCACGGCGUGACUAUGGCAGUUGUAGUCGUAGGAAAUCGAAGGAAUGAAGAAGAUUUAGAGAGAAUGUGGCCGAAGGCGGCGAUGGCACUGGGAAUCGAAGGAUGCGGCGGUGGCCUUUGGGGUAGUGUUUAUAUAUAUAUAUAGAGGUGCACUAAAAUAAAAACCAAGAUUAGCCUAUAAAAUAAGAGCCAAUGUAGGCCAUUGGAUUAUCUUAAUUGGACGGUCAGGUCUUGAUUUAAUUUUCUCUAGCUAAUUAACGUCAAUUUAGGUAAUAGGGUAGAUAUGUAAUUACAUAAUUCUAAUAACCACCUCACCCUUAUUAUAAGGGAUUACAUUUAAACCAAGAUUUAACAUUCCCUAAUAUAAAAUCUGUGUAACUAAUACAUGUUCCAGAAGGAGAAAAAUAAGAAAACCCUGCCAACAGAUUCAAGAACACGCCCAGAAAUUCAUGGAGGACACUAAUACGCAAUUUCACUAUUCACAAUUUAUAGAUAUAAUUCAUAUAUUUUUUUCACUAUGUUGACAUAGUUCAUGGGUUAUGUGGUAUUGUUCACUCAACAAAUAUACUACGACUAANCAUGUCCCUACUGCUUAUGAAAGAGCUUAAAGCUCACUUAUCGUGUGGCUUAUGAAAGAGCCUAAAGCUCACUUGCCCUUGUUACUUAUAAAAGAGCAUAAAGCUCACUUGCCCAUGCUGCUUAUUGAAAAACUUAAAGCUCACUUGUCCCUGUCAUUUGUAAUAGAACUUGAAGCUCACUUAUCCUCAUUGUUAAUUGAAGAGCUUAAAGCAGAAAGCUCACUUGUCCCUGCUGCAUAUUAAACAGCAUAAAGCUCGCGUGUCCCUGUGGCUUAUAGAAAAGCUUGAAGGUUAGUUGUCCCAGUCUCUUAUAGAAGAGUUUAAAGCUCACGCUCCCUGUUGCUUAUAAAAGAGAUUAAAAUAAUCUUGUCCAUGUCCCUAAUAGAACAACUUAAAGCUCACAUAAAAGAGCAUGUAGCUCACGUGUCCAUAUGGAUAUAAAAUAGCAUAAAGCUGAACGUUUCCUUCCCAUUUAUGAAAAAGCUUAGAGGUCACUUGUCCCUCUCGCUUAUAAAAGGGCUUAAAGCUCACGUGUCCCUGUUGUUUAAUAAAGAGCUUAAAGCUGACUUUUCUCUGCCACUCGUACAAGACCAUAAAGCUUACUUGCUCGUGCCGCUUAUAAAAGAGCGUAAAGCUCACUUGUCGCUGUGAUUUAUGAAAGAGUUUUAACGCUCACUUGUUCCCAUCAUUAAUUAAUGAGCUUGAAGCAUAACGUUCACGUGUCCCUGCCUGCUUUUUAAAGAGCAUAAAGCCCACUUGUCCUUAUGGAUUAUGGAAAGCUUAAAGGUUGCUUGUCCCUGUCUCCUAUAGAAGAGUUUAAAGCUCAUGUGUCCAUGUUGCUUAUAAAAGAGAUUAAAAUAAACUUGCCCUGUCGCUAUAAAAGAGCUUGAACGCUCACGUGUCCCGAUGUUGAUUAUAAAAGAGCUUAAAGCUCACUUGUCCUCGUCGCUUGCAAAAGAGCUUAAAGCUCACUCGUCCCCCUCCCUUACCCCCGCGCGCUUAUGAAAGAACUUAAAUGCUCGCAUGUCUCUGCUGCUUAUAGAAGAGCUCAAAGUUCUGGGGUCUGUGUAUAUAAAAGAGCUUAAAGCUCAUGUGUCCCGGUUGCUUAUAAAAGAGCUUAAAGCUCACUUGUCCCUCACGUUUAUAAAAAAGAGCAUAAAGGUCACAUGUCUUUAUCGCUUCUUAAAGAGCUUAAAGCUGACUUGUCCCUAUGGCUUAUAAAAGAGCUUGAAGCUCAUUCGUCCUGCUGCUUGUAAAAGUGUAUGAAGCUCACGUGUCCCUGUGGCUCAUAAUUGUCCCUGUAGUUUAUAAAAGGGCUUAAAGCUGAAUGCUCAUGUGUCCUAUUGGCUUAUAAAAGAGUUUAAGGCUCACGUGUCCCUUCUUUUCACAGAAGAGUUUAGUGCUCAUGUGUCCCUCUUACUUACAAAAAAGCGCAAUGCUCAUGUGUCACUCCUAAGCAAGAGCUUAAUGCUCACAUGUCCCUGGUGCUUAUAAAAGAGCUUAAAGCUCAUGUGUCCCGGUUGCUUAUAAAAGUGCUUAACACUCACGUGUCCUUGCUUAAAAAAGAGUUUAAUGCUCACCAUUCAACACGGCUGGGCUGUAAUCAUUUUAAACCAUGCUUCCAGAGAAUGAUCUCCGUUUUCUGCCCAAGGGGAUGAAGAAAUGCCCGUGUGGAUUGCAUGCCACAAAGCUUCUGCGUGUGUUGUAGAUGAUGUAAAUAAGUCAAGUGGGAUUUUGCAAGCCAAGCUCGCUCUAACUCGUAUGAUUAUGACUCAACUCUACUCGAUUUGGUUGGAAUCCUUUACAAUGCCAACCUAUAAAAUUUGUGUGAAAUAUAUCUAUAUAUACUUAUAAAUUAAUAAAACUGAGUCAGACUUUUCUGCAUAAUAUGUCAACCUUUAGCUGAUUUUCCAGCUGCAAAGUGAUGAAAAUUUUGGUAGCCUGACUUUUUUCCCCAAUGUAAAUCUGAUGCCUAUCAUCUUUUACGUAAUGCUUAAUGUAUUCCAAUUUCAAUGUGAAGUCCAUUUGUCUUUAACCAAGCUUAAGCGCCAUUUUUAUGUUUAGAUGCAUCUGUUUGUACUAUAAAUAUCAAUUUUCACUAGUGCUUCUAUAGAGAUGAAUCAUCUAAUAACAUAAGUGUCUUUGGUCUAACAAUUUUAACGACAUAUAUUCAAAAGUUUCGUCUUGGCAAUUUAAUCUGUUGGAAGUAAGUAGUUUGUUCUCAUCUUUUUCUUCUUUUAUUCAUGUUUUUAAAAAUCUUGUCGUACCAAGGAUUGAUUUAGAGGCUUGUUGAGAGAAGAAGAAGAAGAAGAAGAAGAAGGGUUACAAAAAGGCGGUGAACAACUUGACAAUGAAAUUCAGGGAAAAAGCUAAAGUGAUAGCAGGGAAGGCAUUCAAGAGGUUUGCUAUGGAGUUGAGUGUCAUUUUGUAACUGCUUCUGUGAUAAAGAUGAAUUCGGGGCAAAAGAUAUUCCUGUAUUUCUUGAUUGUAUUGGUUUGAAAAUUCAGGCCACCCAAAAUCAUGGAUCAAUAACAUAAUUGCAUUGAAAUAGUGUUGAACCUUUAAUUAGGUAAUGACAAGGAAUGUUGAUGAAAUUCAUCCAUUGCAAGUAUAGGUGUCUUGAGGUUGAUUUGAUGGCUUCUAUAAGAGAAAGUUGUUUAAUUUAAUGUGCGAUUUGGGUAAAAUGUCAUAUUGACAUAAUAGUAGUUAAGUUGAUAAUUGAUUCUAGUAGAUUUUUGUGUUUGAACAUGGGAUCAACAAUAUGGGUAGAAUUAUAAAGUAUCUGUAUCUCAAAAGGUACAACAGCUCAUGUUAUCUUAAGACGUUUGAAAUGAUGCUGCUAAUAGUGAGUAUGAAUGUAUCAUAGAAUUAAAUAGUUAAUGCAACAUGAACAUAUAGAUCAUACUCAUUUAAGUUAAACUUGUCAAGAAAAGGAUGCCUACUCAUAAAAAAUCUAUUUCCUCUACAAGGAAAGGAUUGUUUGCUGCUGCCCUCGCCGAGACAAUAAAAGGAGACAAGGAGGAGCUGAUGCAGUUCGGGCCGAGGAGACAAAAGCACUGGAAAAUCUCAGGAUAAGGCAGGUCAGAGC